This 1553-nucleotide ribosomal RNA is filed under the name Escherichia coli. Its description in RNAcentral is "bacterial SSU rRNA". It matches the Rfam family "Bacterial small subunit ribosomal RNA". The record is from RNAcentral. Lineage: Bacteria; Pseudomonadati; Pseudomonadota; Gammaproteobacteria; Enterobacterales; Enterobacteriaceae.
AAAUUGAAGAGUUUGAUCAUGGCUCAGAUUGAACGCUGGCGGCAGGCCUAACACAUGCAAGUCGAACGGUAACAGGAAACAGCUUGCUGUUUCGCUGACGAGUGGCGGACGGGUGAGUAAUGUCUGGGAAACUGCCUGAUGGAGGGGGAUAACUACUGGAAACGGUAGCUAAUACCGCAUAACGUCGCAAGACCAAAGAGGGGGACCUUCGGGCCUCUUGCCAUCGGAUGUGCCCAGAUGGGAUUAGCUUGUUGGUGGGGUAACGGCUCACCAAGGCGACGAUCCCUAGCUGGUCUGAGAGGAUGACCAGCCACACUGGAACUGAGACACGGUCCAGACUCCUACGGGAGGCAGCAGUGGGGAAUAUUGCACAAUGGGCGCAAGCCUGAUGCAGCCAUGCCGCGUGUAUGAAGAAGGCCUUCGGGUUGUAAAGUACUUUCAGCGGGGAGGAAGGGAGUAAAGUUAAUACCUUUGCUCAUUGACGUUACCCGCAGAAGAAGCACCGGCUAACUCCGUGCCAGCAGCCGCGGUAAUACGGAGGGUGCAAGCGUUAAUCGGAAUUACUGGGCGUAAAGCGCACGCAGGCGGUUUGUUAAGUCAGAUGUGAAAUCCCCGGGCUCAACCUGGGAACUGCAUCUGAUACUGGCAAGCUUGAGUCUCGUAGAGGGGGGUAGAAUUCCAGGUGUAGCGGUGAAAUGCGUAGAGAUCUGGAGGAAUACCGGUGGCGAAGGCGGCCCCCUGGACGAAGACUGACGCUCAGGUGCGAAAGCGUGGGGAGCAAACAGGAUUAGAUACCCUGGUAGUCCACGCCGUAAACGAUGUCGACUUGGAGGUUGUGCCCUUGAGGCGUGGCUUCCGGAGCUAACGCGUUAAGUCGACCGCCUGGGGAGUACGGCCGCAAGGUUAAAACUCAAAUGAAUUGACGGGGGCCCGCACAAGCGGUGGAGCAUGUGGUUUAAUUCGAUGCAACGCGAAGAACCUUACCUGGUCUUGACAUCCACGGAAGUUUUCAGAGAUGGAAUGUGCCUUCGGGAACCGUGAGACAGGUGCUGCAUGGCUGUCGUCAGCUCGUGUUGUGAAAUGUUGGGUUAAGUCCCGCAACGAGCGCAACCCUUAUCCUUUGUUGCCAGCGGUCCGGCCGGGAACUCAAAGGAGACUGCCAGUGAUAAACUGGAGGAAGGUGGGGAUGACGUCAAGUCAUCAUGGCCCUUACGACCAGGGCUACACACGUGCUACAAUGGCGCAUACAAAGAGAAGCGACCUCGCGAGAGCAAGCGGACCUCAUAAAGUGCGUCGUAGUCCGGAUUGGAGUCUGCAACUCGACUCCAUGAAGUCGGAAUCGCUAGUAAUCGUGGAUCAGAAUGCCACGGUGAAUACGUUCCCGGGCCUUGUACACACCGCCCGUCACACCAUGGGAGUGGGUUGCAAAAGAAGUAGGUAGCUUAACCUUCGGGAGGGCGCUUACCACUUUGUGAUUCAUGACUGGGGUGAAGUCGUAACAAGGUAACCGUAGGGGAACCUGCGGUUGGAUCACCUCCUUACCUUAAAGAAGC